UAAGUAAAUCGCCUUAUCGUUACGUCUUUGGCGUAAAGGAAAGUCCGAACACCGUAGUGCAACAUAGUGGUUAAAAGCCACCGGCCGAAAGGUUAGGAAAAGUGCAACAGAAAGAAUGUACGGGUAGUGCCGUAGUGAAAUCAGGUAAACUCUAUGUGGUGCAAUGCCAUGUAUACCAGCGUUUGAAAGUGGCACGCUUGAUUGCUGGAGGGUAGGCAGCUAAAGUUUGCUGGUAACAGUAAACGCAGAUAAAUGAUAAGGGUCGCGCCUUGGUGCGAUACAGAAUUCGGCUUAUAGAUUUGCUUAAAUA
RNAcentral lists this RNase P RNA (310 nucleotides) under Hyunsoonleella jejuensis. RNAcentral's name for it is "Bacterial RNase P class A". It matches the Rfam family "Bacterial RNase P class A". From Rfam's summary of the family: Ribonuclease P (RNase P) is a ubiquitous endoribonuclease, found in archaea, bacteria and eukarya as well as chloroplasts and mitochondria. Lineage: Bacteria; Pseudomonadati; Bacteroidota; Flavobacteriia; Flavobacteriales; Flavobacteriaceae. The record is from Rfam by way of RNAcentral.